Fukomys damarensis (Damara mole-rat) is the source of this 317-nucleotide unclassified non-coding RNA. Its record names the gene 7SK. It matches the Rfam family "7SK RNA". Rfam says of the family: 7SK was discovered as an abundant small nuclear RNA in the mid-70s but a possible function has only recently been suggested. Two independent studies have found that 7SK RNA binds the CDK9/cyclin T complex (known as elongation factor P-TEFb). P-TEFb activates transcription by phosphorylating the C-terminal domain of RNA polymerase II. Lineage: Eukaryota; Metazoa; Chordata; Mammalia; Rodentia; Bathyergidae. The record is from Ensembl.
GGAUGUGAGGGCAAUCUGGCUGUGGCAUCUGUCAACCCAUUAUCACCGGGGUUGAUUUUGGCUGAUCUGGCUGGCUAGGCAGGUGCCCCCUUCCUCCCUCACUACUCUGAAGCUGCAUUCUUGGUCGAUAGAGGAGGACAGUUUCCUUGGCUAAGGGUAUACAAGUAGCUGAGCUCCCCUGCUAGAACCUCCAAAUGAGCUGUCACUGUCAAAAGACAAGUACUGUCAGAAUUUGGUGUGCUGAGACAGGUAUGGUUUUGUAUUUUAUUCUGUUGAUAUUAAACCCUGAAGACUAGGUUAUGAGCAAUAUUCAAUCA